This 403-nucleotide ribosomal RNA is filed under the name uncultured bacterium. RNAcentral describes it as "partial 16S ribosomal RNA". It matches the Rfam family "Bacterial small subunit ribosomal RNA", at positions 28 to 526 of the family's 1533-position model. The record is from RNAcentral.
GACGAACGCUGGCGGCGUGCCUAAUACAUGCAAGUCGAACGCAGUGGGGACGGGUGAGUAACACGUGGGUAACCUCCCAUCAGAGGGGAUAAAACUUGGCAACAGGUGCUAAACCGCUACUGCUGUAUGUACCCGCGGUGCAUUAGCUAGUUGGUGAGGUAACGGCUCACCAUGGCCACGAUGCAUAGCCGACCUGAGAGGGUGAUCGGCCACACUGGGACUGAGAGACGGCCCAGACUCCUACGUGAGGCAGCAGUAGGGAAUCUUCGGCAAUGGACGAAAGUCUGACCGAGCAACGCCGCGUGAGUGAAGAAGGUUUUCGGAUCGUAAAACACUGUUGGUAGAGAAGCGUUAUCUAACCAGAAAGCCACGGCUAACUACGUGCCAGCAGCCGCGGUAAUAC